CACUAAUUUUGUGAAGAAAAGAAAAAUUAAAACUCCAUCCUGGACACUAUGAAGGGCAAUGCUGCACAAAAGGUAAAAGUCCUACCACCCUCCAAUCAUUAAUUUUCUUUAUUUUUCACACUUAACAAACUUCAAAAACUCAAACCUUUGACCACCUCCAUUUUGGGCAAUUCAUGUGCCUAGCGGUCCCCAGCUAACCUAAGAUGCCAAAGUUUG
This 216-nucleotide long non-coding RNA is filed under the name Actinidia chinensis (golden kiwifruit). RNAcentral describes it as "long non-coding RNA (ACHI_LNC008969)". The record is from RNAcentral. Lineage: Eukaryota; Viridiplantae; Streptophyta; Magnoliopsida; Ericales; Actinidiaceae.